Prinia subflava (tawny-flanked prinia) is the source of this 3170-nucleotide long non-coding RNA. RefSeq lists it as uncharacterized. NCBI's taxonomy places the organism in Eukaryota, Metazoa, Chordata, Aves, Passeriformes, Cisticolidae. The transcript is spliced from 3 exons. The record is from RefSeq and is a predicted model, not a curated record.
GGAUAGCCAAGGCUCUUUGGGAUUGAAACUACACAAGUGCAGCCUGCCUGGAUGCCACAGAUUGCAGUGGGAGCCCCUUCUUUCUCGGAAAGCCUGGAGAACACUCCAGGAGCAGAACAGGAGCAGAACACUGCCUUUGGGAGAGGGCAGGGAGCUGCACUCCACUCCCACCCAGCAGCUGUGACCCUGCUGUGAGCAUCCAUCAUGAGGAGUGUAUGGAAAGGGCUGAGGAAAACACCAAGUUCAGCAGUUGACCACUUUAUAAAGUAUCAGCAUAGAAAUCCUGUCUAAACCAUGUAUGUUUUUGUGUAUUAACCUACAGCAGCCCUGAAACAGGAUCACAGCUGCACCCAGUUCAAAUGCCCAGAAUUUUAGUGACUGAUAACGACGUCUGGGAAGAGGUUUCCCUUACAGCAAUUUUGAAUUUCAGUACUGCUCUGAACAAACUCUGGAAAUCUUCCUGAGGCAGAAAACCAACAUUCAGUAGGAUCUUCCAAGAUUUAUGUUGCUGACCCAGCUUGCAUUACCAGGGGACAGAACAUAGCUGUAUCAGAUAGGGAUCCUGAUCAGAGAACACACAGCUACAUCUGGGGUCUGUGCCAGCACAGCCAUUCCAGCACAGCCUCCAAAGGAGAAACUCAGCUUCCAUCACUGCUUGUCCUGUCUGCUCCUGUUUAGCUUCAUAGCCCCACACUGGCUCAAAAACGUGCAUUUAUCUAAAAUAAAGUUGGAGCUUUGGAUUUCACUUGGCUCGUGAAGUUUGGUCCCACCCACUUUUAUUUGUUUGAUUUUUUUUAUGUAUACAUAUACAUGCAUAUGUAUACAUGUGCAUUCACACAUACACAGAAAUAUACAAUGAUAAAGACAGAAUACAGGAUUUAAAACGUUUUCCAGGUGGUUUUCAGGCCCAACAGCUGAGAGUCUUUUUUUUUUUUUUUUCUUUCUAAAGUACUAAGAGGAUAAAUAUUGCCAUUUAAAAAAUAAACUUCCUCAAAAUUGUCCUUUCUGCUCUGAAAGACCAUCUUGUUCUUUAGGUGAUUUAUGAUAUCAAUCUGUAACUACACGUGUAUUGUUCAGAGUGUUCAGCAAACAAGACGUGAGUGUUUGAAAUACUUCAGGGCAGGAAGAGGCACAAAACAUCGAAGCAGCCUCCCAGUUCUAGCACGGGCACUUGAAACCCAGUGUCUUCUUUCCUGUUAAUACAUCUCAGGCUGUCAUUGCCUCUUCAUUUCCACAUAAACGAGCAUUGACAGGCCAGCUAAGCCAGGCAUUUGCUGUGCAGAGACCAAAACCAGCUCAAGUUGAGUACAUUCCCACUUUUUAAAGUGUUCGGCCAUUGGCCAGCUGGGCCAAAAUAUUCUGAUUUUUUUUUUUUUUAAGUGAAUGAUUGAUUGAUGCCCAGAAAACAUUUCAAAGUAGGAAUGUGGGCCAAGUAAAAUGCAGCAGCAUGAUGAAUGUUGGGAGAUUGGUGUACCAUGAGUGUGGAAACCACCAUUUGGUGGCAGGGUUGGUCCAGCCCUUUCCCUGGCCAGUUAAAUCCUGGAGGUUCCCAUCACGGACCUGCUGCCUGAGGAAACCAAUUUCUGUUUCAAGGGGCUGGGAUGGGAAGGUCUCCAGAGAGAAGAGCAAAAAAGUUAGCUGUAAAAGACAGGAGCCCUGAGAGUAUUAUGGGAAUCCUGAAGUCUAUAGCCUGAGGGUUUCUGGGCAAGAGGGGAGACCCAUCCCACUGCAAGACCAGCCAUGUCAGGGAGAAAACAAGACAGUGGGAAAGGAGAAAGAGAGGAGUAAAAAGGAGAUCUGGUAAUUUGCUUAGAGAACCAAGGAAUAAUCUAGGCUGGGAGGCACUUCUGGGACAAGUCAAUCCCACUUUGAGUUGGACAGAGAUCAAAUUGCUCAGGGACUUGUUCAGUCCAGCCUUCAACAUCUCUGAGGAUGGGAAAUCCCACAGCCGCUCUGGGUGACUUGUGCUAUAUUUGACCACUGUCAUGGUAAAAAAUUUUUUGGCCUUAUAUCUAACUGGAAUUUUCCAUGUUCCAACUUGUGACAUUAGAGGGCACAUCCCUGCUCGCACCUUUUGUUUAUGAAUUUGUAAUCCCUGGCUCUGCUGGCACUCCUUGUCUCCACAGCCUUCUAAAGCAACAAACUCCCCAAGCUGAGUACCAGCUAUGCAAGAAAGGCUAAUCCUGGUGGUCUAGGCCAAGAAUGACCUUGGGGUGGUGGCAGAGAGAUGGACAACAGAUAGUUCUCUCUUCACACAUCUUCUUCCUCUGUUGGCCUGCUUUCCCAUCACGACCUAUUUUCUAGCUUGGAGCUCUGGGAUCCACAGUUCCACAAGCAUUUGAUUUGCCUGAAGAAUAUUGCAAAUGUUAUUAAUUUCAUCAGUGACUGAUUUGCAUAAAUUUGUUCAGCCAGCACUACAAUAGCUCUUUCUGGCCAAGUCUGAAUGAGUUACACGUCUAAUAUUACAUAUUUCACAAAUGUUAUAUGUGUAUUACCUACGUGCACAUGUGCUUAUACAUACAUUCAUCACCUCGAUACAUCCUUUCAUGUCAGGUAUGCGAAUUAUUUUGUUUAUGAGAAACAAAGUUCCCUCCCUGCGCCAGGAUUAAGACCUGCGUUCCUUUCCUGCCUCUCCUUGGGAUCCCAUGUGAUCUGGCCAAGUCAUUUCAUGUCUCUGUGCCUCUGUCUCCCGUUUGGGGAGCAGGGGCAGUGCUCGGGGAGAAACCGUGGAUCGCUCUCCUCGGAGAAGAGCAGGGAUGUGUCAUUCUCUGCAGAACAAUGGCACUUCUGACAUUCCUAAUGCCAUGGCAAUAUGAAUAUUCAAAGCAGCAGGGCCUUUGUUAGAGAUCCUGAUUAAUUGGUGAUUAAUAUCACUGUCAUUUCCUUAGAAUAAUGUGUGCUGUGCUCUUAUCUGGAGAAAAGGGGAGGAGAGAGGGGGAAAGAGAGUUCCUGAGUGCACCGGUACACGGGCUUCAGGCAAAGCCUGCGGACUCCAUUAAGGACAAACACUGCUUCCCAAACUGUCCCUAUUCCUGUGACAUUUACACUGCUCAGGCCCAUGUACUCAACACUCAGCUCCAGGAGCCCUCUCUGAUUCCCAAGUGCUGGUGGUGUAAAGUGUCAAACCCACCAAACUCCAGGAUGAUAAUUACAGACUGCAGCUAUUUUCA